AUAAACAUAGCGUUACAAUCCCUCAAUGAAAGAACAAAAACAAUCCCUCAAAUCCCUCACUGAAACUGGCGUAAAUCUCGGUUCCCUCACAAUCCCUCAUAACCCCUCACUUGCAAUCCCUCCCUCACAAUCCCUCACUGAAAGAGCUGCUCUUACCCUCACAGAGACCGACGGUGUAAAUCUCGGUUCGAAAGAAGAACAAAAAGGUACCCUGUUGGAUGGAGAAUUCGAAUAAGCCAAUUUUGAUAAACAUCUCAAGGAAUCAGGAUUACCAGUUUUGAAGAUAAGUAUCUAAUUUGUUUUUCUCACAUAUUUAGAUGUACUCAUAAAUUUCUAUACUAAUGUUAUUUUUCAAAACAUGUAUGACAGCAAUUCAAAACAAUCGAUACACAAAAACAAACACAGGAUGAUCUGUUACUUAGACAGAGACGAAGAAGUCGGUGGACUAACUUACAUAAACUAAAGAUAAAUAACCAACACGAAGAUAAGUAUUCUUUCUCAUAAUACCUGUAACAUUUUUAUCUGUAUUCACUUUCUUUCCACUAAACUUUAGAGAUUUUGUCAAUUUUCUCAUUUUCACAUACCUGCGAAAAUGCAUAAAAUAGUUAGUGUUUGCAAUAAUUAUACUUAAUAUUUAUGAAAUAAAUGAGAAACUAUGAAUGAAUAUAUUGAACCUUGAAUUUCAAUUACACUCUCUCUCUGAGAAUUCUUAGAUGAAGCUGCAAAUUUUGUAAAAUAAGAUCUAACUGGAUUUUCUAUUUAUAUGAGAGCUGGAAAAUAUAUAUCCAUCGGUCAUAACCAUAAGAAUUGAAAAACUAAAGUGCAUUCUUGAACAGCAAGUAUCUCAGUUGCAGUGGGUGAUAAUCUGUCAUAGAGGCUCCAAAAAGUAGCUAUUGCUUUUUCAUACAUUACCUUUGGAUAAUACAAUUACACAGAUAUGUAAUUCUUUAUUCUUACCAAUCAAAACAAAAGUAUUUUUAUGUUUAAUUUUAAAAAAAAUACUUGGUUAAAGCAAAUUCUAUAAGCACGGAUACAUUUAAUUAAUGGAUAACAAAAUGAUACUUAAUAUUUUAUAUCUAGUGUAUAGAGAACUUAUUUUUAACUAUAUUAUAUAUAUAUAAAUUCUAAUUUAUUUCAUUUCUUUCCCAUAUAAAGUGAAAUUUAAAGUGCAAAAACUUAGACUUUAGAUUUUACAUGAUCACCAUACAUGCACUUGGGGUAUAAUGGUUCAUGUAAUAAAGAUUAUACUUGCAAUUUUCACCAACUGAUUAAAUGUUUAUAAACCUUGAAUAAUUAUGAACAUCUUCCUUUGUAAAUUUUAUAAAUUAUGAUCAUCUUUUGCAGGACGGUCUCGCUGCCAAAUCAGAAACCACCAGUUUUAUUCGAUUCUGAGUACUUAAGGGAAUCUAAUACAAUUGCUGCUCACACUAUAAAUCAUUAUAAUCAGACGGAUGCAAAUCGACAAUCUUCGUAUAAAUAGGUGCCAUUAUGUCUUCAAAUAUCUGCAGUCAUGCAAAAAAAUAUUCACUUAGUAUUUGCAACAUUUUGUAAUAUUUAGAAUUUACAUAGAGCAUCUGUUCUACUUAUAGCUAAAAUACAAAUAUUUGAAACAGUCAUCAGCUUUCCAACAAAGAGAUUAGGAGUAAAGGUACAGGAUAAAACAACAUUUUAUGUACUUAUAGCUAUAAUAGAAAUAUUCAUAACACAGUUUUUCAGCAAAGACAACAUGAGUAGAAGUAUACAACAAACAACAUUUUCUGUAUUUAUAGCUAUAAUACAAAUAUUUGUAACACACAGGUGUUCAGCUUUCCAAUAAAGACAACAGGAGUAAAGGUAUACAAACAACAUUUUCUGUAUUUAUAGCUAUAAUAGAAAUAUUUGUAACACAGGUUUCAGCUUUCCAACAAAUACAACAGGAGAAAAGGUAUACGAACAGUGAACAGAUAAUUCUUUUAGAAUUAUCUUUCCAAUGUUAAAAUUACUUGUUUCAGAAAUAUUUGGAACAGUACGUGAUAAAACAAACUGUAAUCUCUAUUUCAGUUUUUUUUUCAAGCUGAUCUCUUUUCAGUUUUCAAUGAUAUACAAACUGUGAUCACAUAUUUUGUAAA
Long non-coding RNA from Salvia miltiorrhiza (redroot sage), 2108 nucleotides. RefSeq lists it as uncharacterized. The transcript has 3 exons. NCBI's taxonomy places the organism in Eukaryota, Viridiplantae, Streptophyta, Magnoliopsida, Lamiales, Lamiaceae. The record is from RefSeq and is a predicted model, not a curated record.